This 120-nucleotide ribosomal RNA is filed under the name uncultured bacterium. Its description in RNAcentral is "partial 16S ribosomal RNA". It matches the Rfam family "Bacterial small subunit ribosomal RNA", at positions 796 to 914 of the family's 1533-position model. The record is from RNAcentral.
CACGCCCUAAACGAUGUCAACUAGGUGUUGGGAGGGUAAAACCUUUUAGUACCGGAGCUAACGCGUGAAGUUGACCGCCUGGGGAGUACGGCCGCAAGGUUAAAACUCAAAGGAAUUGAC